Molecule: ribosomal RNA, 497 nt
Filed under: uncultured bacterium
Lineage: Bacteria
Description: partial 16S ribosomal RNA
Rfam family: Bacterial small subunit ribosomal RNA
Source: RNAcentral
GAUGAACGCUGGCGGCGUGCCUAAUACAUGCAAGUCGAGCGAACGGACGAGAAGCUUGCUUCUCUGAUGUUAGCGGCGGACGGGUGAGUAACACGUGGAUAACCUACCUAUAAGACUGGGAUAACUUCGGGAAACCGGAGCUAAUACCGGAUGAUAUUUUGAACCGCAUGGUUCAAAAGUGAAAGACGGUCUUGCUGUCACUUAUAGAUGGAUCCGCGCUGCAUUAGCUAGUUGGUAAGGUAACGGCUUACCAAGGCAAAGAUGCAUAGCCGACCUGAGAGGGUGAUCGGCCACACUGGAACUGAGACACGGUCCAGACUCCUACGGGAGGCAGCAGUAGGGAAUCUUCCGCAAUGGGCGAAAGCCUGACGGAGCAACGCCGCGUGAGUGAUGAAGGUCUUCGGAUCGUAAAACUCUGUUAUUAGGGAAGAACAUAUGUGUAAGUAACUGUGCACAUCUUGACGGUACCUAAUCAGAAAGCCACGGCUAACUACGUG